RNAcentral lists this unclassified non-coding RNA (142 nucleotides) under uncultured Ascomycota. Its description in RNAcentral is "sequence contains ITS1". The record is from RNAcentral. Lineage: Eukaryota; Fungi; Ascomycota.
UCGUGGGGCUCCGGCCCCGUCGAGAUAGAACCCUUGCCUUUUUCGAGCACCCAUCCGUUUCCUCGGCAGGCCCGCCUGCCAGUGGGGACCCAAACCAAACCCUUUGCUAUCCUGUACGCGUCUGAGAAACAAGCAAAAGUUA